AGUGAACGCUGGCGGUAGGCCUAACACAUGCAAGUCGAACGGCAGCACAGUAAGAGCUUGCUCUUACGGGUGGCGAGUGGCGGACGGGUGAGGAAUACAUCGGAAUCUACUUUUUCGUGGGGGAUAACGUAGGGAAACUUACGCUAAUACCGCAUACGACCUACGGGUGAAAGCAGGGGAUCUUCGGACCUUGCGCGAUUGAAUGAGCCGAUGUCGGAUUAGCUAGUUGGCGGGGUAAAGUCCCACCAAGGCGACGAUCCGUAGCUGGUCUGGGAGGAUGAUCAGCCACACUGGAACUGAGACACGGUCCAGACUCCUACGGGAGGCAGCAGUGGGGAAUAUUGGACAAUGGGCGCAAGCCUGAUCCAGCCAUACCGCGUGGGUGAAGAAGGCCUUCGGGUUGUAAAGCCCUUUUGUUGGGAAAGAAAAGCAGCAGGUUAAUACCCCGCUGUUCUGACGGUACCCAAAGAAUAAGCACCGGCUAACUUCGUG
Molecule: ribosomal RNA, 492 nt
Filed under: uncultured bacterium
Lineage: Bacteria
Description: partial 16S ribosomal RNA
Rfam family: Bacterial small subunit ribosomal RNA
Source: RNAcentral